Molecule: ribosomal RNA, 433 nt
Filed under: uncultured bacterium
Lineage: Bacteria
Description: partial 16S ribosomal RNA
Rfam family: Bacterial small subunit ribosomal RNA
Source: RNAcentral
AACGAACGCUGGCGGCAUGCCUAACACAUGCAAGUCGAACGAGAACUCCCGGUCUUGUGGCGCACGGCUGCGGACCGCGUGGGAACCAACCCUUAGGUUACCAAUAACUCACCGUAAGGGGUGUUAAGAACGGAUAAUGUAAUCCGACAUAAGAUUUAUCGCUGUAGGAUGGGCCCGCGUUAGAUUAGCUAGUUGGUAGGGUAAAAGCCUGCCAAGGCGAGGAUCCUUGGCUGGUCGGAGAGGAUGACCAGCUACGCUGGGACUGAGACACGGACCAGACUCCUACGGGAGAGAGCGGUAGGGAGUAUUAGACACUGAACGAAGGCCUGAUCCAGCAGUGCGGCGGGAGUGAUGAAGGCCUUAGGGUUGUAAAGCUCUUUUUCCCGGGGUGAUAAUGACAGUACCGGGUAAAGAAGCACCGGCUAACUCCGUG